This 671-nucleotide long non-coding RNA is filed under the name Canis lupus dingo (dingo). RNAcentral's name for it is "lncRNA (ENSCAFG00020019515.1)". The record is from RNAcentral. Lineage: Eukaryota; Metazoa; Chordata; Mammalia; Carnivora; Canidae.
CCCACUUGUUCCAUGGCCCACCCCUGACUCCCCAGCUCUCACAGUCUAGCCUAGACACCCUGACGAGGUGGAGGAUGUAAUUACACCUUGAAACACUCUGUGCACUGGUGACCCAGCUCCUUGCAUGUGUGACUCAAGCCCCAAGAGGUUAGGUUUGUUGUUUCUGCGGCGCUGGUCUGAGGUGUCGCGGCUGCCAGUUGCACCUGGUUUGGGCAACAGUGUCCUGGCGGGAGAACGAGAGACACGAGGCUCGGCAGCUGCAGAAAUGGUGUCAAUGUCACCUGCACCCCGUCCCGUCUGUGGCGGCCCGGCCACCGAGCUCGCUGAGGCGGGGCAGGCCCCUGCCCUCUGGCCUGUCCGCCUGUCCGCGGAUGCUCAGAUGUUUAACUUGGUGCUAAACGGGGGGCGAGACGGGGGAUGACUCGUGCUGCCGCAGUCUGAUGUCGCGGCCCCUGAGACUCGCCUCCUCCGUUGGACGCUGGAGACGUGAGCUGUGCCUACUUCCCAGGGGACGCGGGACGCUCGCUCUAAAGCGCUCGGAACAGCGGCGGCCACAGCCCUCAACGGGCGCCGCUGCUAUGAUCAUAAUCACAGGUCAGGGUGGGGCGGCUGCGUCCGUGGAUGCUCCCCCACGCUGGGCCUCGUGGCUGGGGGGCUGUGCCAGGAGGGGG